UAACACGUAGGGUCCGAGCGUUGUCCGGAAUUACUGGGCGUAAAGCGCGCGCAGGCGGUUGGGUCAGUCGCUGGUGAAAGCCCCACGCUCAACGUGGGAAUGGCCAGCGAGACGGCCCGACUGGAGGCAGGGAGAGGUCGGUGGAAUUCCGGGUGUAGUGGUGAAAUGCGUAGAGAUCCGGAGGAACACCAGAGGCGAAGGCGGCCGACUGGACCUGACCUGACGCUGAGGCGCGAAGGCGUGGGGAGCGAACGGGAUUAGAUACCCCGGUAGUCCACGCGGUAAACGAUGUGUACUGGGUAUGGCGGGAGUUGACCCCUGCCGUGCCGGCGCUAACGCAGUAAGUACACCGCCUGGGGAGUACGGCCGCAAGGCUAAAACUCAAAGGAAUUGACGG
RNAcentral lists this ribosomal RNA (397 nucleotides) under uncultured bacterium. RNAcentral describes it as "bacterial SSU rRNA". It matches the Rfam family "Bacterial small subunit ribosomal RNA", at positions 521 to 916 of the family's 1533-position model. The record is from RNAcentral.